CCUACGGGGGGCAGCAGUGAGGAAUAUUGGUCAAUGGCCGGAAGGCUGAACCAGCCAUGCCGCGUGAAGGUCAGUGCCCUAUGGGCGUUAAACUUCUUUUGUGCGGGAGCAAUAAUGGUCACGUGUGGCCAGACGAGAGUACCGUACGAAUAAGCAUCGGCUAACUCCGUGCCAGCAGCCGCGGUAAUACGGGGGAUGCAAGCGUUAUCCGGAUUUAUUGGGUUUAAAGGGUGCGUAGGCUGUGAGGUAAGUCAGCGGGGAAAUGCCCCCGCUCAACGGGGUGAAGUGCCAUUGAUACUGCCUUGCUGGAAUGCGGAUGCCGUGGGAGGAAUGUGUGGUGUAGCGGUGAAAUGCAUAGAGAUCACACAGAACACCGAUUGAGAAGGAAUCUCACGAAUCCGCGAUUGACGCUGAUGCACGAAAGCGUGGGUAUCAAACAGGAUUAGAUACCCUUGUAGUC
RNAcentral lists this ribosomal RNA (460 nucleotides) under uncultured bacterium. Its description in RNAcentral is "partial 16S ribosomal RNA". It matches the Rfam family "Bacterial small subunit ribosomal RNA", at positions 338 to 795 of the family's 1533-position model. The record is from RNAcentral.